Molecule: ribosomal RNA, 299 nt
Filed under: Synalpheus aff. apioceros A KMH-2014
Lineage: Eukaryota; Metazoa; Arthropoda; Malacostraca; Decapoda; Alpheidae
Description: partial 16S ribosomal RNA
Source: RNAcentral
AAAGGUAGCAUAAUCAAUAGUCUUUUAAUUGAAGGCUUGAAUGAAAGGUUGGACGGAUAGAAAGCUGUCUUAAUAAGUUGUAUUGAAUUUAACAUUUGUGUGAAAAGGCAUAAAUAAAUUUAGGGGACGAUAAGACCCUAUAAAAUUUAACAUAUAUAAUUUCUUUUUUUAAUAGUUAAUUAAUUUAUAAAGCGAUUUAAGGUGUUUUGCUGGGGSGGCAUUGAUAUAAUUUUUGUAACUGUCAUAARAAUUUAAUAUAGGUUUAUAGAUUAUGGUCCUUUAUUAAGGAGUGAAGAUUA